This 275-nucleotide ribosomal RNA is filed under the name uncultured bacterium. RNAcentral describes it as "partial 16S ribosomal RNA". It matches the Rfam family "Bacterial small subunit ribosomal RNA", at positions 355 to 624 of the family's 1533-position model. The record is from RNAcentral.
UGGGGAAUAUUGCACAAUGGGCGCAAGCCUGAUGCAGCCAUGCCGCGUGUGUGAAGAAGGCCUUCGGGUUGUAAAGCACUUUCAGCGAGGAGGAAGGGUAGUGUGUUAAUAGCACAUUGCAUUGACGUUACUCGCAGAAGAAGCACCGGCUAACUCCGUGCCAGCAGCCGCGGUAAUACGGAGGGUGCAAGCGUUAAUCGGAAUUACUGGGCGUAAAGCGCACGCAGGCGGUUUGUUAAGUCAGAUGUGAAAUCCCCGCGCUUACGUGGAACUGC